Molecule: ribosomal RNA, 253 nt
Filed under: uncultured bacterium
Lineage: Bacteria
Description: partial 16S ribosomal RNA
Rfam family: Bacterial small subunit ribosomal RNA
Source: RNAcentral
UACGUAGGGUGCAAGCGUUGUCCGGAAUUACUGGGCGUAAAGAGUGUGUAGGCGGUGUUCCAAGUCUGGUGUGAAAUCUCCCGGCUCAACUGGGAGGGUGCGCCGGAAACUGGAAUGCUAGAGGGUGGGAGAGGUAAGCGGAAUUCCUGGUGUAGCGGUGAAAUGCGUAGAUAUCAGGAGGAACACCGGUGGCGAAGGCGGAUCUCUGGGCCUGAUCUGACGCUGAGGCGCGAAAGCUAGGGGAGCGAACAGG